UAUUUAAUACUUAAAAAUAAUCAAAAUUUAUAUUCUGAUUUUUUUCAAGCUUUCAUAAAAACUAAAAUGAAGCAUUAAAGAUAAAAAAACAUAUAAAAUUAAAAAAAAAAAAACCCUUUAUUAUUACUAUAAAUAAUUCAAAAACAUCUAAAAAGAUGGUUAUUAUAUUAAUAAACUUAAUAAAACCUAUAUACUGAAUUCUUUUUAUAUAAAAUUUUAAAAUAAUAAUUUAAAAUAUUAUUAAAUAA
RNAcentral lists this transfer RNA (248 nucleotides) under Pneumocystis jirovecii. RNAcentral describes it as "tRNA-Pseudo(CTG)". The record is from RNAcentral. Lineage: Eukaryota; Fungi; Ascomycota; Pneumocystomycetes; Pneumocystales; Pneumocystaceae.